RNAcentral lists this RNase P RNA (275 nucleotides) under Babjeviella inositovora NRRL Y-12698. RNAcentral describes it as "Nuclear RNase P". It matches the Rfam family "Nuclear RNase P". From Rfam's summary of the family: Ribonuclease P (RNase P) is a ubiquitous endoribonuclease, found in archaea, bacteria and eukarya as well as chloroplasts and mitochondria. Its best characterised activity is the generation of mature 5'-ends of tRNAs by cleaving the 5'-leader elements of precursor-tRNAs. The record is from Rfam by way of RNAcentral. Lineage: Eukaryota; Fungi; Ascomycota; Pichiomycetes; Serinales.
CGUGUUGUUCUGCGCUUACCCGCCUACUCCGGUCACCCGGAACCCUUGCGGGUGGGAAAUUCGGUGGUUCGCUCCGUCCGAUCGACAAACAUUACUCCUGAGAGUUUACCAGGCGCGGAAGCGCCGGGCAGUGCCAUCAGAAAACACCGAAGGCUUUGCCCUCGGAUGGGAGGCACUGCGGACGGCUGGUCCUCCGUUGCACGGGGGGCUGUUGAGUGCAAUGUGCAGACCUUGGCUUGCAAGAGCCAGGGCACCCGAUACCGAUCAUCUUCACG